GGUUGAUCCUGCCAGUAGUCAUAUGCUUGUCUUAAAGAUUAAGCCAUGCACGUCUAAGUAUAAGCAUUUAUACGGUGAAACAGCGAACGGCUCAUUAAAUCAGUUAUAGUUUAUUUGAUGGUUCCUUACUAGUUGGACAACUGUAGGAAUUCUAGAGCUAAUACAUGCGAAGAGGCCCGACUCCAGGGGAGGGCUGUAUUUAUUGGCAUCAGAACCGAUACGGGGGGCGACCUCCGGACGUGGGGUGAAUCACGGUAACUUGUCGAAUCGCAUGGCCUUUGAGCCGGCGAUGA
Molecule: ribosomal RNA, 293 nt
Filed under: uncultured eukaryote
Lineage: Eukaryota
Description: partial 18S ribosomal RNA
Rfam family: Eukaryotic small subunit ribosomal RNA
Source: RNAcentral